Molecule: unclassified non-coding RNA, 438 nt
Filed under: Invertebrate iridescent virus 6
Lineage: Varidnaviria; Bamfordvirae; Nucleocytoviricota; Megaviricetes; Pimascovirales; Iridoviridae
Source: RNAcentral
AUGAAUAUCCAGAUUCAGAUUAUUAUGAUGAAAGAUCAGAUCGUCAUUGGUCUGAUGACGGAUUCAGAUCGUGAUUUAGAUGAUUUAUAUGACGAAUAUGAAAAUUAUUAUGAAGAAGUUCAAGUAAAAAAACAAAAUUUGGAAGUUGAAAUUAUUGAUAUAACUCCAGAAAUCGAAAUAUUAAAUCAAAACGAAAAAGAAAAAUUUAACCAAGUUGAAGAUAAAUUAACAACUCUUUCUAAAAACCUUACAUGUAUUAUUUGUUUAACAAAUCAAGUUCAAAUAUUAACAAUACCUUGUGGACAUCUUAUAAUGUGCAACCCUUGUUCACUUAAUUUAAAUAAUUCGGUUUGCACCAGAGGGGUAAACUCAAACUACGAAAAAUGCCCUAAAUGCAGAACACCAAUUUAUAAUAAAAUUAUAGCAAGACUACCAUAG